Molecule: long non-coding RNA, 1238 nt
Organism: Gadus morhua (Atlantic cod)
Lineage: Eukaryota; Metazoa; Chordata; Actinopteri; Gadiformes; Gadidae
Exons: 5
Source: RefSeq, a predicted model, not a curated record
GCUGAUCAGCUGCACUUGUACAAGGCUCUGGUACAAGGUAGCUGGUUCACGGGACAGCGGGGCGGGGUAUUCAAAUACCCAACACCUGAUGACUGUCCGAGAGGGUAGUCGGUGUGUUGUUGGGUUUCUUUAUGCAUAAACCAGUUUGUGCUUUUGGGAAUUGAUAGUACGCGUGGAUUUAGAGGAACUAGAGUUCACCGCGUUAUUAUGUUAUUGUGUCUAAACUUGGAUCCACGAACAGCCGGCCCGAUUACAUCCGGAGGGGCCCCGGGAGUACCCGUCAAACAUCGCAAUUGAUCCACCGGUGGGUCGGACACUGUUCAUGUUUAUAGGUAUUAGAGCACAUUACUGCCUGAACGAAGAAGAAAGAACCGCAGGAGCUGGCCCAGGUACUGGGGGGGACUGAACGCUUUGGUUGAAGAUGAAUAUACUAGGCCUAUUAUGGUUGGUGGGAUAUGCUGCCAUUUUCAAAGGUUUUGCUUACCCAACUGUAUAUGGAGAGGUUGGAGGGGAGGUGUUAUUUCUAUGCCCAUGUGACAAGGAGCGGCCUGUCAACAGUUUUUACUUUCAAGGUUUCCAUGGCCCUGACAAGGUUUUUAUUAAUGGAUGGCAUGAUACGAAACGAACCAAACCCAAACCAGAUCUGUUCACCAGUGUGAACAGGACAGAGAGGACCGUAACCAUGUGGAAUCUGACAGCUGGAAAUGAAGGGUUCUAUCAGUUUUUCAUCGACUAUUCCAAUGAAACGAAGGAAUAUAGCAUUUUCCUCAACGUCUCAGAAAAACCAACCACCACCAGAUCAGGCGAACAACAGCCCAUCCACAGCUCUGAAGCUGAACAAAGUCAUCGCCAUCAUUGGUACUUCCUUGCUGCUGGUUGCCUGUUUGUAUUAUUAUUAGUUGUUAUCAUACUACAUGUUGUGGCAACCCGUCGACAGCACAGCGCCCCUGGAGCAAGCCCCUCAGGUGCCUCAGGUGGAGCACCUGAGGAGCCGUAAAAAGGGGCACCUGAGGAGCACACUCAGUCAAGGCUCUCCUCUUGUUUUUUUUUGCGGAGAGACCAGUCUCCGUGGGUGACGUGAUUCCAGCGGGAGGAACAAGACUGUGGAUUCUAGGGGUGUGCCAAAAUAUCGAUACUGCGACAUAUCGCGAUAUUUUGUCUUGCGGGACGUUAUCGAUAUGCUGACGCCAAAUAUCGAUAUUUAAAGGUCCCAUGACAUGAAAAUCUCACUUUAUGAG